GCCAGGCACUGUGGCAAAUGCCUGUAAUCCCAGCAGCUUGGGAGGCUGAGGCAGGAGGAUCAUGAGUUCAAAGCCAACCUAAGCAAAAGUGAAGCCCUAAGCAAUUAGAGACCCUGUCUCCA
This 122-nucleotide small RNA is filed under the name Marmota monax (woodchuck). Lineage: Eukaryota; Metazoa; Chordata; Mammalia; Rodentia; Sciuridae. The record is from RNAcentral.